This 344-nucleotide long non-coding RNA is filed under the name Zonotrichia albicollis (white-throated sparrow). RNAcentral describes it as "lncRNA (ENSZALG00000014388.1)". Lineage: Eukaryota; Metazoa; Chordata; Aves; Passeriformes; Passerellidae. The record is from RNAcentral.
AGAAUGCUUGAGAGAGGUAAAACCAGCAGGGACAUCUUGCCUGAAAUUCAGCAGCACUGAGACAGUGGCUGUGGGUAACCAGUACUUUGAAAGAGGAGCCCAUGGAUAACAUGCUGCAGAAGUAACCCAGGAUGGAUGUGAGAGCAUUUCAGAGUCCUCCCCCAUGCUGCCUGGAGAACUUGACAAGCUGGAGCCAACCCUACAGUAGACUUGGCACUUUAAUUACUCCAGGCAAUGAUACUGGGCUGACUUAAAUGGAAAACUGAAAAAUUGAGGAGUUGAGACUAACAACUGUGACCUUCCAUGAGGUUGGCAGCUCAUUGCACUUUUCUAUAGCUCAAAGA